Long non-coding RNA from Amphimedon queenslandica, 271 nucleotides. RefSeq lists it as uncharacterized. NCBI's taxonomy places the organism in Eukaryota, Metazoa, Porifera, Demospongiae, Haplosclerida, Niphatidae. The transcript has 3 exons. The record is from RefSeq and is a predicted model, not a curated record.
UAUACAUGUUGUGAUUUAAAUCAGUUACAUUUCUUGAAAAGAAUAUUCGGUUGAAAAUUGAAAACCCUAGCUAAUAACAGAGGCAAUCUUAUUACAGUCUUCAAGAAGAGAAUGAUUCAUUGCAGACGAUGUUACACCCACAGCCUGAUGCCCUGAGACCGCUCUAUGUCUAUGAGUCUAAAAUGGGUAAAUCAUUUCCAGUUGAGAUAUCAUGUCUUGAUAUUGAGAAUAAGUUGAAAUGGUAUUCCAUCACUUCAGACAGAUUUUACUC